GGGAUUUAAGAGUUGGAGGUGACACGUUCAAGUCCCUCAGGUUCAAGUCCAGGAUGGGGGACCAGCACCAUCCCACAAAUAGUUUUGGAUAGCUGUUCUGUACCAGGUUAUAAAGGACGAUUUCUUGAAGACACCAUCAACGGAAGGAGAGUGGCAUAGCCGUGGACUUCGAAAGGAAGUGGCAGUUUCCACAUUGCUUUGGGGUACUUACUACCACUCCAGCUGUAGCAGACUGCUGACCAAAACAUGGUUGAUGGGCAAUGGAAGAAUCGUGGGACGGGUGCUUUUCAACCGAUGAACACCACCUCACAUCGCAAUUGUAUGGCAACAGCAAAAGUGCAACGCAAUCUGAUGCGGGACUACUUUGUCUCACCAGCGUGUAGUGUUUAUUGGCAAGUUCAACACAUUUUAAAAGGAACUGAUGUAGAGUUAUCCCUGCAAACAGCAGAUUAAAGCCAGUUAUUGUCAGUUUAGGACAUUCGUUUUCUUGUGUGUUCUAAAGUCCUGUAUUUGUAAAGAACACAAUGUGGUUCACUUUUUCAUUGUUUUAAGUAUUCUGUUUAUUGUUGUGUUAUUAUUCAAUUAAUUUUAAUUGCAUACAAAUCAAAAGGUGCAGGAAUGUAACAAAUAAAGGCAAUCUGCAUGUUGCAA
This is a long non-coding RNA of Paramisgurnus dabryanus, 651 nucleotides long. RefSeq lists it as uncharacterized. Lineage: Eukaryota; Metazoa; Chordata; Actinopteri; Cypriniformes; Cobitidae. The record is from RefSeq and is a predicted model, not a curated record.